AGCCGCUCUUUCUGAGAAGUAUGUAUAACGCUGUGUCCUGCACGGGUUACAGCGAAAUGCGAGUUACUAUUUAAUCGCGAUAAAGAAGUUGCACACAUGAAGUACAGUAUAUAUCAACCACCACAUUAAGUUUGUGCAAACGCUUCCAUAAGUAAACCUUGCAACGAAAAAGAAAUGAGAAAGAGAGCGUCUCUGUUGUGAAAUAUAUUGCAACGGCGCUGGACAAGUUACAUCAGCCAGGGAUCAAUCUCCAAAAGAAUAAGCUGCCAUUUCAUCUGUAGCAAGUUAUAAAAACGACAGCUUUGCACCGUCGCAAGUGCAUUUUCCAGCUGGUCUUUCCUUCCAAGAUCCUCGUGAAGAGCAGAGAAUCGAUCCAUUGCGGUGCUCGGCGCCGACGCUGCGAUAAUGUAUAUCCGUGCUCAGAAUGACAGACCUGCACGUUGAAGACAAGUUCAUUGACAAAAUAAAAGGAAAAAGAAAGCUGCCAAACUAGAUAACCGAAGAUGAAGACGGAAUAUCUUAUGAGGAACAUAUAAAGUUUAUUGAAGGAAGGUUUAAGACCGUGGUCAAAGAAGGACGUAUCUGCUCUCCUGAAACACUUCAAUAUUUUCUUCAUUUUAGUGAAAACAAAAUG
Molecule: long non-coding RNA, 634 nt
Organism: Polypterus senegalus (gray bichir)
Lineage: Eukaryota; Metazoa; Chordata; Cladistia; Polypteriformes; Polypteridae
Exons: 3
Source: RefSeq, a predicted model, not a curated record